Molecule: transfer RNA, 89 nt
Filed under: Nitrosospira sp.
Lineage: Bacteria; Pseudomonadati; Pseudomonadota; Betaproteobacteria; Nitrosomonadales; Nitrosomonadaceae
Also listed under: 6 other names
Description: tRNA-Leu
Rfam family: tRNA
About the family: Transfer RNA (tRNA) molecules are approximately 80 nucleotides in length.
Source: RNAcentral
GCCCGGAUGGUGAAAUUGGUAGACACAAGGGACUUAAAAUCCCUCGGACUUAAUCGUCCAUGCCGGUUCGAUUCCGGCUCCGGGCACCA